UCACCCGCGGCUUACACUGAAUUUUCAAUUGGCAGCCGGGGAAGCGGGGAAGGCCGUGCGAAUCGGCCGCGGUCCCGCCACUGUGAUCGGCUUGAAGCAGCCGUAAGCCAGGCCACCCUCCCUUGGCGCAGCGGCCCG
Acidobacteria bacterium 13_2_20CM_58_27 is the source of this 138-nucleotide non-coding RNA. The record is from Rfam. NCBI's taxonomy places the organism in Bacteria, Pseudomonadati, Acidobacteriota.